Molecule: long non-coding RNA, 1248 nt
Filed under: Equus asinus (donkey)
Lineage: Eukaryota; Metazoa; Chordata; Mammalia; Perissodactyla; Equidae
Description: lncRNA (ENSEASG00005032762.1)
Source: RNAcentral
AAGGAACGCACAUAAUUGACUCCGGCAGCCAGGAUGAGCCUGCUAGUCUGCUGGCAUGAGAAAUCCAGAGUGACAGAGCAGCAGCCAUACUGCAACGUUAAACGGGAAUAUUGCUGCGCCCCAUUGUAGAUGCAUUUCCUUUCUGAGAACCGUGAUCUCUGGACCCACAGAAUUUAAUCUGCAAGGACAAGUUUCCCAAGAAUGGAUCACUGACACCACGUGGGAGACAGCGGGAACUGAGUGCUAUGUUUGGGACCGUUCUCCAGCCUCCCAGAAAUGUAAAGUUGGAUUUUCUAAUAACUUCUAAUCAUGGAAAUCACAUACCCACUAUGUGCUAGACACUAUUGUAGGUACUGGAGAAUGAGAAUAAGCAGCCCUGCCCUCAAGGAGCCUUUUUUCUGGUGUUAGCACAGUGCAUAAGGUGGCGCCUUAAAGACCGACCCAUGACAUGGCGUGGUUGUCCUGAUGACUUGCCUAUUUUACGUCUGACCCAUGCUAGUUUGAAUUCGUAGCUGCUGGGUUGGAGGGGAGACCCUCAAGGCUCCUCUCCGUCCUUUGCUAUUCCGGAGCCCUCUCUACUCAGGACUUGUGAGCACCCGCUCUCAAGAAGAGUAAGCAGUUACGGGCUGGUUCUAACUGGAACGACGCUGUCCUUUUCUGACCAGCAUCCUCGUACAGCUCUGCAGCAGUUACAGGGGAGGUUCUGCAGAGACACAGCACAAGGCAGAGAGGUUCAAGGGCCUCCUGCCACUUUUCCCUGGUGUGGGGUUUCAUAGCCAUCCUCAGAGGCGGGGGCGGGUGGCAGUCACUGCUCUGCAGGUAACUCUUCCUCAGUUCUUCAGAAACGGAACCUGUUAAGCAUGUGGCAUACCAGGGACAGCUCCCCAUACAGGGCCAAUCGUUCAUUUGUUAGUAAGCAGAAACGACCCUUUCUUUAAGUGUUGCUCACAUCGCCUCCAGGAGAAAUUGUGUGAUUGUGAACAUUCUAGUGGGCUCGUCGCCUUUAUUUGUGGCUCCUGGGUGACUUUGUCAGAUUGUAAUUGCGUUGCGCUUAACUUCCCUAUUGGUGAUCUGUGUGAAAGUGUGUUCUGACCUUGGGUUUUCUCCUCUCAGAUUUUAAAAAUAAAAACAGGCCAUGCUUUGUGCUUUUCAGAGGAGAAACUAUAAAAUACAUUUAUGUUCUCUAUAUUACAGGAUAUUAUUGUUGUAUACGCUGAGCUGCAUUCUCUCAAGGCCUAUGUAAUAGCU